GACGAACGCUGGCGGCGUGCUUAACACAUGCAAGUCGAACGGAAAGGCCCUGCUUUUGUGGGGUGCUCGUGUGGCGAACGGGUGAGUAACACGUGAGUAACCUGCCCUUGACUUUGGGAUAACUUCAGGAAACUGGGGCUAAUACCGGAUAGGAGCUCCUGCUGCAUGGUGGGGGUUGGAAAGUUUCGGCGGUUGGGGAUGGACUCGCGGCUUAUCAGCUUGUUGGUGGGGUAGUGGCUUACCAAGGCUUUGACGGGUAGCCGGCCUGAGAGGGUUACCGGCCACAUUGGGACUGAGAUACGGCCCAGACUCCUACGGGAGGCAGCAGUGGGGAAUAUUGCACAAUGGGCGGAAGCCUGAUGCAGCAACGCCGCGUGCGGGAUGACGGCCUUCGGGUUGUAAACCGCUUUCGCCUGUGACGAAGCGUGAGUGACGGUAAUGGGUAAAGAAGCACCGGCUAACUACGUG
RNAcentral lists this ribosomal RNA (468 nucleotides) under uncultured bacterium. RNAcentral's name for it is "partial 16S ribosomal RNA". It matches the Rfam family "Bacterial small subunit ribosomal RNA", at positions 28 to 507 of the family's 1533-position model. The record is from RNAcentral.